This 2789-nucleotide ribosomal RNA is filed under the name Escherichia coli. Its description in RNAcentral is "bacterial LSU rRNA". It matches the Rfam family "Bacterial large subunit ribosomal RNA". The record is from RNAcentral. Lineage: Bacteria; Pseudomonadati; Pseudomonadota; Gammaproteobacteria; Enterobacterales; Enterobacteriaceae.
AGCGUACACGGUGGAUGCCCUGGCAGUCAGAGGCGAUGAAGGACGUGCUAAUCUGCGAUAAGCGUCGGUAAGGUGAUAUGAACCGUUAUAACCGGCGAUUUCCGAAUGGGGAAACCCAGUGUGAUUCGUCACACUAUCAUUAACUGAAUCCAUAGGUUAAUGAGGCGAACCGGGGGAACUGAAACAUCUAAGUACCCCGAGGAAAAGAAAUCAACCGAGAUUCCCCCAGUAGCGGCGAGCGAACGGGGAGCAGCCCAGAGCCUGAAUCAGUGUGUGUGUUAGUGGAAGCGUCUGGAAAGGCGCGCGAUACAGGGUGACAGCCCCGUACACAAAAAUGCACAUACUGUGAGCUCGAUGAGUAGGGCGGGACACGUGGUAUCCUGUCUGAAUAUGGGGGGACCAUCCUCCAAGGCUAAAUACUCCUGACUGACCGAUAGUGAACCAGUACCGUGAGGGAAAGGCGAAAAGAACCCCGGCGAGGGGAGUGAAAAAGAACCUGAAACCGUGUACGUACAAGCAGUGGGAGCACAGAGCAAUCUGUGUGACUGCGUACCUUUUGUAUAAUGGGUCAGCGACUUAUAUUCUGUAGCAAGGUUAACCGAAUAGGGGAGCCGAAGGGAAACCGAGUCUUAACUGGGCGUUAAGUUGCAGGGUAUAGACCCGAAACCCGGUGAUCUAGCCAUGGGCAGGUUGAAGGUUGGGUAACACUAACUGGAGGACCGAACCGACUAAUGUUGAAAAAUUAGCGGAUGACUUGUGGCUGGGGGUGAAAGGCCAAUCAAACCGGGAGAUAGCUGGUUCUCCCCGAAAGCUAUUUAGGUAGCGCCUCGUGAAUUCAUCUCCGGGGGUAGAGCACUGUUUCGGCAAGGGGGUCAUCCCGACUUACCAACCCGAUGCAAACUGCGAAUACCGGAGAAUGUUAUCACGGGAGACACACGGCGGGUGCUAACGUCCGUCGUGAAGAGGGAAACAACCCAGACCGCCAGCUAAGGUCCCAAAGUCAUGGUUAAGUGGGAAACGAUGUGGGAAGGCCCAGACAGCCAGGAUGUUGGCUUAGAAGCAGCCAUCAUUUAAAGAAAGCGUAAUAGCUCACUGGUCGAGUCGGCCUGCGCGGAAGAUGUAACGGGGCUAAACCAUGCACCGAAGCUGCGGCAGCGACGCUGAUGCGUUGUUGGGUAGGGGAGCGUUCUGUAAGCCUGUGAAGGUGUGCUGUGAGGCAUGCUGGAGGUAUCAGAAGUGCGAAUGCUGACAUAAGUAACGAUAAAGCGGGUGAAAAGCCCGCUCGCCGGAAGACCAAGGGUUCCUGUCCAACGUUAAUCGGGGCAGGGUGAGUCGACCCCUAAGGCGAGGCCGAAAGGCGUAGUCGAUGGGAAACAGGUUAAUAUUCCUGUACUUGGUGUUACUGCGAAGGGGGGACGGAGAAGGCUAUGUUGGCCGGGCGACGGUUGUCCCGGUUUAAGCGUGUAGGCUGGUUUUCCAGGCAAAUCCGGAAAAUCAAGGCUGAGGCGUGAUGACGAGGCACUACGGUGCUGAAGCAACAAAUGCCCUGCUUCCAGGAAAAGCCUCUAAGCAUCAGGUAACAUCAAAUCGUACCCCAAACCGACACAGGUGGUCAGGUAGAGAAUACCAAGGCGCUUGAGAGAACUCGGGUGAAGGAACUAGGCAAAAUGGUGCCGUAACUUCGGGAGAAGGCACGCUGAUAUGUAGGUGAAGUCCCUCGCGGAUGGAGCUGAAAUCAGUCGAAGAUACCAGCUGGCUGCAACUGUUUAUUAAAAACACAGCACUGUGCAAACACGAAAGUGGACGUAUACGGUGUGACGCCUGCCCGGUGCCGGAAGGUUAAUUGAUGGGGUCAGCGCAAGCGAAGCUCUUGAUCGAAGCCCCGGUAAACGGCGGCCGUAACUAUAACGGUCCUAAGGUAGCGAAAUUCCUUGUCGGGUAAGUUCCGACCUGCACGAAUGGCGUAAUGAUGGCCAGGCUGUCUCCACCCGAGACUCAGUGAAAUUGAACUCGCUGUGAAGAUGCAGUGUACCCGCGGCAAGACGGAAAGACCCCGUGAACCUUUACUAUAGCUUGACACUGAACAUUGAGCCUUGAUGUGUAGGAUAGGUGGGAGGCUUUGAAGUGUGGACGCCAGUCUGCAUGGAGCCGGCCUUGAAAUACCACCCUUUAAUGUUUGAUGUUCUAACGUUGACCCGUUAUCCGGGUUGCGGACAGUGUCUGGUGGGUAGUUUGACUGGGGCGGUCUCCUCCUAAAGAGUAACGGAGGAGCACGAAGGUUGGCUAAUCCUGGUCGGACAUCAGGAGGUUAGUGCAAUGGCAUAAGCCAGCUUGACUGCGAGCGUGACGGCGCGAGCAGGUGCGAAAGCAGGUCAUAGUGAUCCGGUGGUUCUGAAUGGAAGGGCCAUCGCUCAACGGAUAAAAGGUACUCCGGGGAUAACAGGCUGAUACCGCCCAAGAGUUCAUAUCGACGGCGGUGUUUGGCACCUCGAUGUCGGCUCAUCACAUCCUGGGGCUGAAGUAGGUCCCAAGGGUAUGGCUGUUCGCCAUUUAAAGUGGUACGCGAGCUGGGUUUAGAACGUCGUGAGACAGUUCGGUCCCUAUCUGCCGUGGGCGCUGGAGAACUGAGGGGGGCUGCUCCUAGUACGAGAGGACCGGAGUGGACGCAUCACUGGUGUUCGGGUUGUCAUGCCAAUGGCACUGCCCGGUAGCUAAAUGCGGAAGAGAUAAGUGCUGAAAGCAUCUAAGCACGAAACUUGCCCCGAGAUGAGUUCUCCCUGACUCCUUGA